Molecule: long non-coding RNA, 2381 nt
Organism: Bicyclus anynana (squinting bush brown)
Lineage: Eukaryota; Metazoa; Arthropoda; Insecta; Lepidoptera; Nymphalidae
Exons: 4
Source: RefSeq, a predicted model, not a curated record
AAUGGAGCGAGAUAGAUAUUUUUAACCGACUUCCAAAAAGGAGGAGGUUCUACGUUCGGCUGAUUCCGUCAAUUAUGGACCGAUUUUGAAAAUUCUUUUUUUGUUUUGUAGGGUUUACUUCCAGGGUGGUCCCAUUUUUUUCAUGUCAGGAUCUGAUGAUGGCAUCCUGGAGAAAUUGAGAGGAACUUUCGAAAGUUGUAGAGACGGCUAGUACGUUUGUUAGUGUUUCCAUAAGGUAUUUUAAACCACUACAACUUUAUGAAGGUUUGGAGUUGGUCUGAUGAUGGAGCCGAAACACAGACCAUGGAACUCGUCAAGGAUUUACAGCAGUCACCUUUUGUUUGGACUUGAUUAAUUUGUAUUGAUGAGUACUUUCCACCUAUAUGGGUUGUGACUGUAUUAAGGGUCUGGUGAUGAAGACGAGGGACAGUGAAGAGAACUCCUCGACGGUUCACAGUAGCUACCUUGUGUUUGGACUUGAUAAAUUUGUAUUGAUGAGAACUUACCACCUAGAUGGAUUGUGACUGUAUUAAGGGUCUGAUGAUGAAGACGAGGGACAGUGAAGAGAACUCCUCGACGGUUCACAGUAGCUACCUUGUGUUUGGACUUGAUAAAUUUGUAUUGAUGAGAAAUUUCCACCUAGUAGGAUUGUGACUGUAUUAAGGGUCUGGUGAUGAAGACGAGGGACAGUGAAGAGAACUCCUCGACGGUUCACAGUAGCUACCUUGUGUUUGGACUUGAUAAAUUUGUAUUGAUGAGAACUUACCACCUAGAUGGAUUGUGACUGUAUUAAGGAUCUGAUGAUGAAGACGAGGGACAGUGAAGAGAACUCCUCGAUGGUUCACAGUAGCUACCUUGUGUUUGGACUUGAUAAAUUUGUAUUGAUGAGAACUUUCCACCUAGAAGGAUUGUGACUGUAUUAAGGGUCUGGUGAUGAAGACAAGGGACAUUGAAGAGAACUCCUCGACGGUUCACAGUAGCUACCUUGUGUUUGGACUUGAUAAAUUUGUAUUGAUGAGAACUUUCCACCUAGAUGGAUUGUGACUGUAUUAAGGGUCUGAUGAUGAAGACGAGGGACAGUGAAGAGAACUCCUCGACGGUAGCUACCUUGUGUUUGGACUUGAUAAAUUUGUAUUGAUGAGAACUUUUCACUUAGAUAGGUUGUGACUGUACACACGCAGUGGGUAUGCUAACACUAAAAAUAAAAAAAUAAAAAUUUUAAUAAAAAAAAUUCAACCGACUUCCAACUCAAAAAAUAACUUUAACUAAAAAGCAAAAAAUAACAUCCUACCUAUGUGCUACCUUCUGAUCAGUAUGAAGGCGGUGCCAAGCCAGUGAUGAUUUAAUUAAAUACGUUUAAACUACAAAAUUUCUUUGGUUUUUCCAGAAACAGCUUUAAUUAAAACACGACACUAGCUUGGCACCGCCUUCAAACUGAUCAGAAGGUAGCACAUAGGUAGGAUGUUAUUUUUUGCUUUUUAGUUAAAGUUAUUUUUUGAGUUGGAAGUCGGUUGAAUUUUUUUUAUUAAAAUUUUUUUUUAGCCAUUGUGUAAAGAGGUUAGACAUAUUUUACAUGACAACAUCAAUUAUAUCAGUUGUGACCAAAUUAUCUUUUGUUUUUAGUGACCAAAAAUGGCUAUUGUUGUGGUUCCGGUGUAACGGUAUUCAAUAUAUUACGGAAAUAAAAACCAAUAAGCUUGUGAAUCGCAAAAUAAAUUAAAUAUUAUACAAUGGUGAAGUGCGCAGUUGUUGCCUGCACCAACAAAACCCAAACAAAACUAGCGGGAAAUUCAUUUCACAAAUUUCCAAAAAAUCAUGAUUUAAGACAAAAAUGGCUAAACAGCAAUAACAGGCCUGAUUUCAAUCACGAUACAGCUGCAUAUAUUGUAGUGAUCAUUUUAAGAAGGAUCACAUUAAUUAUAAUAAAUAUAAUAUAUUUUUUUUUACUGUGUCCAAUAGUGUAAGAGAAAGAUAUAAUUCACAAAUUUGAAAAAAGAUUUUGCUGAAUUUAUCACCUGAGCAACAAGUAAGACAACCCUUGCAAGAAGUGAAUCUUAAUCUGUUAUCAGAGAGUCAUGACAAUGCCGUUUCCCAAAAUGGAAUACAAGAUAUAAUGGUUUCAUCUACUUAUCAGUCAGUCAGUACACCAAACGUACAAAUAGUAACGGCUGGUUCAAUUAAGGACGUUUUGGCUCGUAUUGUCAAAAACAUAUUUAAAAACUAAAUUUUUCUUGUAAUAAUGUCUCAAAAACAUAUGAAAAAAAAUUUUAUCUAGUAGAACGAUAAUCAAAUAUUUAAGACCAUUUAUAAAAAAAAGCUGUCAAGUAGCCUAUUACUUUUUGAUAUUUAUAACGUAUAACGUUGUAUCAAAAAUUGUAAGU